UACGAAGGGGGCUAGCGUUAAUCGGAAUUACUGGGCGUAAAGCGUGCGUAGGCGGUUUGUUAAGUCUGCUGUGAAAUCCCCGGGCUCAACCUGGGAAUGGCAGUGGAUACUGGCAAGCUAGAGUGUGUCAGAGGAUGGUGGAAUUCCCGGUGUAGCGGUGAAAUGCGUAGAGAUCGGGAGGAACAUCAGUGGCGAAGGCGGCCAUCUGGGACAACACUGACGCUGAGGCACGAAAGCGUGGGGAGCAAACAGG
RNAcentral lists this ribosomal RNA (253 nucleotides) under uncultured bacterium. RNAcentral's name for it is "partial 16S ribosomal RNA". It matches the Rfam family "Bacterial small subunit ribosomal RNA", at positions 524 to 776 of the family's 1533-position model. The record is from RNAcentral.